UGUUCCCAGAUGGACACGUGCUGUAC
This 26-nucleotide non-coding RNA is filed under the name Homo sapiens (human). Lineage: Eukaryota; Metazoa; Chordata; Mammalia; Primates; Hominidae. The record is from RNAcentral.